Molecule: unclassified non-coding RNA, 429 nt
Filed under: soil metagenome
Description: partial contains 5.8S ribosomal RNA, internal transcribed spacer 2, and large subunit ribosomal RNA
Rfam family: 5.8S ribosomal RNA (bases 1-118)
Source: RNAcentral
GAUGAAGAGCAGCGAAAUGCGAUACGUAAUGUGAAUUGCAGAAUUCAGUGAAUCAUCGAAUCUUUGAACGCACAUUGCACUCUCUGGUAUUCCGGAGAGUAUGCUUGUUUGAGUAUCUGUAAACAUCUCAAAUCUCUCUUCAAUUGCUUCAAUUGGGUCGAGAGAAUUGGAUUUGAGCGAUCCCGACUCCUUCGUCAGAAAGAGGAGGGUCGCUUGAAAUGCAGGUGCAGCUGGACAUUCUUCUGAGCAAAAAGCAUAUCUAUUUAGUCCCGUCAAACGGAUUAUUACUUUUGCUUCAGCUAAUAUAAAGGUUGAAUGAACUACCAACGCUGAUUGCAGGAAAACAUGUUCGUUUAUUCGGACUUGUAAACUCGAUCUCAAAUCAAGUAAGACUACCCGCUGAACUUAAGCAUAUCAAUAAGCGGAGGA